GCUGACGAGUGGCGGACGGGUGAGUAAUGUCUGGGAAACUGCCUGAUGGAGGGGGAUAACUACUGGAAACGGUGGCUAAUACCGCAUAACGUCGCAAGACCAAAGAGGGGGACCUUCGGGCCUCUUGCCAUCAGAUGUGCCCAGAUGGGAUUAGCUUGUUGGUGAGGUAACGGCUCACCAAGGCGACGAUCCCUAGCUGGUCUGAGAGGAUGACCAGCCACACUGGAACUGAGACACGGUCCAGACUCCUACGGGAGGCAGCAGUGGGGAAUAUUGCACAAUGGGCGCAAGCCUGAUGCAGCCAUGCCGCGUGUAUGAAGAAGGCCUUCGGGUUGUAAAGUACUUUCAGCGGGGAGGAAGGUGUUGUGGUUAAUAACCACAGCAAUUGACGUUACCCGCAGAAGAAGCACCGGCUAACUCCGUGCCAGCAGCCGCGGUAAUACGGAGGGUGCAAGCGUUAAUCGGAAUUACUGGGCGUAAAGCGCACGCAGGCGGUCUGUCAAGUCGGAUGUGAAAUCCCCGGGCUCAACCUGGGAACUGCAUUCGAAACUGGCAGGCUUGAGUCUUGUAGAGGGGGGUAGAAUUCCAGGUGUAGCGGUGAAAUGCGUAGAGAUCUGGAGGAAUACCGGUGGCGAAGGCGGCCCCCUGGACAAAGACUGACGCUCAGGUGCGAAAGCGUGGGGAGCAAACAGGAUUAGAUACCCUGGUAGUCCACGCCGUAAACGAUGUCUACUUGGAGGUUGUGCCCUUGAGGCGUGGCUUCCGGAGCUAACGCGUUAAGUAGACCGCCUGGGGAGUACGGCCGCAAGGUUAAAACUCAAAUGAAUUGACGGGGGCCCGCACAAGCGGUGGAGCAUGUGGUUUAAUUCGAUGCAACGCGAAGAACCUUACCUGGUCUUGACAUCCACAGAACUUUCCAGAGAUGGAUUGGUGCCUUCGGGAACUGUGAGACAGGUGCUGCAUGGCUGUCGUCAGCUCGUGUUGUGAAAUGUUGGGUUAAGUCCCGCAACGAGCGCAACCCUUAUCCUUUGUUGCCAGCGAUUAGGUCGGGAACUCAAAGGAGACUGCCAGUGAUAAACUGGAGGAAGGUGGGGAUGACGUCAAGUCAUCAUGGCCCUUACGACCAGGGCUACACACGUGCUACAAUGGCGCAUACAAAGAGAAGCGACCUCGCGAGAGCAAGCGGACCUCAUAAAGUGCGUCGUAGUCCGGAUUGGAGUCUGCAACUCGACUCCAUGAAGUCGGAAUCGCUAGUAAUCGUGGAUCAGAAUGCCACGGUGAAUACGUUCCCGGGCCUUGUACACACCGCCCGUCACACCAUGGGAGUGGGUUGCAAAAGAAGUAGGUAGCUUAACCUUCGGGAGGGCGCUUACCACUUUGUGAUUCAUGACUGGGGUGAAGUCGUAACAAGGUAACCGUAGGGGAACCUGCGGUUGGAUCACCUCCUUACCUUAAAGAAGC
This 1461-nucleotide ribosomal RNA is filed under the name Salmonella enterica subsp. enterica serovar Heidelberg. RNAcentral describes it as "bacterial SSU rRNA". It matches the Rfam family "Bacterial small subunit ribosomal RNA". Lineage: Bacteria; Pseudomonadati; Pseudomonadota; Gammaproteobacteria; Enterobacterales; Enterobacteriaceae. The record is from RNAcentral.